GGAUUGGGAGGGUUCUACGGAACCCGUUUGGUGAAUCUAGUGCCGAGAAAAGCCUUCUAUGUGUUGAAUUUCUAGUACCCGUACCCCAAACCGACACAGGUGGGUGGGUAGAGCAUACCUAGGGGCGCGUGAUAACUCUCUCUAAGGAACUCGGCAAAAUGGCCCUGUAACUUCGGGAUAAGGGGUGCCUGCGUGAGCAGGCCGCAGUGAAAUGGCUCUGGCGACUGUUUACCAAAAACACAGGUCUCUGCUAAGUCGUAAGACGAUGUAUAGGGGCUGACUCCUGCCCAGUGCCGGAAGGUUAAGGAAGUUGGUUAGCGCAAGCGAAGCUGGCGACCGAAGCCCCGGUGAACGGCGGCCGUAACAAUAACGGUCCUAAGGUAGCGAAAUUCCUUGUCGGGUAAGUUCCGACCCGCACGAAAGGAGUAACGAUCAGAGCGCUGUCUCGGAGAGAGACACGGCGAAAUAGGAUUGUCCGUGAAGAUACGGACUACCUGCACCCGGACAGAAAGACCCUAUGAAGCUUUACUGUAACUUGGAAUUGUGUUCGGACUUUGUCUGCGCAGAAUAGGUGGGAGGCUAUGAAACGUUCCUCGCGGGGAACUGGAGCCAUCGUUGAGAUACCACUCUGGCAGAGUCUGGAUUCUAACCUACGGGGACAGUUCCAGGUGGGCAGUUUGACUGGGGCGGUCGCCUCCUAAAAUGUAACGGAGGCGCGCAAAGGUUCCCUCAGGCUGGUUGGAAAUCAGCCAUAGAGUGUAAAAGCAUAAGGGAGCUUGACUGUAAGACCUACAAGUCGAGCAGGGACGAAAGUCGGCUUUAGUGAUCCGACGGCACUGAGUGGAAGGGCCGUCGCUCAACGGAUAAAAGUUACUCUAGGAUAACAGGCUGAUCUCCCCCAAGAGUUCACAUCGACGGGGAGGUUUGGCACCUCGAUGUCGGCUCGUCGCAACCUGGGGCGGUAGUACGUCCCAAGGGUUGGGCUGUUCGCCCAUUAAAGCGGCACGUGAGCUGGGUUCAGAACGUCGUGAGACAGUUCGGUCCAUAUCCGGUGUAGGCGUAGGAGCAUUGAAAGGAUCUCUCCUUAGUACGAGAGGACCGGGAGGGACGUACCUCUGGUGUACCUGUUAUCGUGCCAACGGUAAACGCAGGGUAGCCAUGUACGGAGUGGAUAACCGCUGAAAGCAUCUAAGUGGGAAGCCCACCUUAAGAUGAGUGCUCCCUUGAGGCCACGGGAAGACGACCCGUUUGAUAGGCGCUAGGUGGAAGUGCAGUAAUGCAUGCAGCCGAGGCGUACUAAUAGGCCGAUGGCUUG
This 1315-nucleotide ribosomal RNA is filed under the name metagenome. RNAcentral's name for it is "bacterial LSU rRNA". It matches the Rfam family "Bacterial large subunit ribosomal RNA", at positions 1563 to 2925 of the family's 2925-position model. The record is from RNAcentral.